CAAACCAAGAUCAAAGGAGGCUGA
RNAcentral lists this non-coding RNA (24 nucleotides) under Arabidopsis thaliana (thale cress). The record is from RNAcentral. Lineage: Eukaryota; Viridiplantae; Streptophyta; Magnoliopsida; Brassicales; Brassicaceae.